CAAUAGCGUAUAUUAAAGUUGUUGCAGUUAAAAAGCUCGUAGUUGGAUUUCUGACAGGAGCGACCGGUCCGAUCAUUUGGUCGUGUACUUUGUGUUGUCUCUAGUCAUCCUUAUGGAGAACGCUUGUGGCAUUAAGUUGUCGCGAGUGGGAACCAUAUCGUUUACUGUGAAAAAAUUAGAGUGUUUAAAGCAGGCAAUUGCUGUGAAUACGUUAGCAUGGAAUAAUAAGAUAGGACUUUGGUACUAUUUUGUUGGUUUACAUACCAAGGUAAUGAUUAAGAGGGACAGUUGGGGGUAUUCGUAUUUAAUUGUCAGAGGUGAAAUUCUUGGAUUUAUGAAAGACGAACUACUGCGAAAGCAUUUACCAAGGAUGUUUUCAUUAA
RNAcentral lists this ribosomal RNA (383 nucleotides) under uncultured eukaryote. Its description in RNAcentral is "partial 18S ribosomal RNA". It matches the Rfam family "Eukaryotic small subunit ribosomal RNA", at positions 592 to 976 of the family's 1831-position model. The record is from RNAcentral.